This 433-nucleotide ribosomal RNA is filed under the name uncultured bacterium. Its description in RNAcentral is "partial 16S ribosomal RNA". It matches the Rfam family "Bacterial small subunit ribosomal RNA", at positions 29 to 507 of the family's 1533-position model. The record is from RNAcentral.
AACGAACGCUGGCGGCAUGCCUAACACAUGCAAGUCGAACGAGACCUUCGGGCCUAGGGGCGCACGGGUGGGUAACGCGUGGGAACCUGCCCUUAGGUUCGGAAUAACUCCCCGAAAGGGAUGCUAAUACCGGUUAAUGUCUUCGCACCAAAGAUUUAUCGCCUUUGGAUGGGCCCGGGUUGGUUUAGCGAGUUGGUAGGGUAAAAGCCUACCAAGGGCAGGAUGCUUAGCUGGUCGGAGAGGAGGAUUAGCCACACUGGGACUGAGACACGGCCCAGACUCCUACGGGAGGCAGCAGUAGGGAAUAUUGGACGAUGAGCGAAAGCGUGAUCAAGCAGUGCCGCGGGAGUGAUGAAGGGCUUAGGGUUGUAAAGCUGUUUUACACGGAAUGAGAAUGACAGUACCGGGUGAAUAAGCUCCGGCUAACUCCGUG